UCUAGAGCCACCUGUCGGCGGGACUUUGACUUGUGCCUCGUCCUUCGUCCCGCUCGCACACCGCGGAGGCGCGCAGUGUUACUACUACUUCUCUUUCCCGGAAAAGAUUCGCUUACCCAGGACCUGACAGUCAACUUUGGGAACUCCGUACUAACGCCCACUUCGACCGCUAAGAACCUCGGCGUCACACUCGACAGCCAACUCUCCCUGACUCCCAACAUUGCCGCGACAACGCGAUCCUGUAGAUACACGCUCUACAACAUCAGGAGAAUACGUCCCCUUCUCACUCAGAAGGCAGCGCAGGUGUCGUGAUGCCUCAGAACGUUAUGAACCGUGACGGUGGACGAGGAGGAACUCGCCACAGCACCUGUAGAGCCUCCGGUCGGGGCCCGGGUCUGGUUCGUGGAGGCGCUGCUCUCAAUGGCGUGCUGGCCGCUCCUCCUCAGAGCACGGCUCGGUUCACCCAGGGGAACGGCGCCCAGCCACCGCGUGUGGUUGAGGGUGACGUUAACCAUUGGUACAAGAGCAAGAAGGCAGCGCCCCCGAGGACACUGAAGAAACGGGGAGGCCCCGCCUCCCCUGUCACUCAUGCCUCAGCGGCUGGCAGGGUCUGUAGUGCGGGCAGCCUCGCUGGUGUGUCGGGGAAGGGGGCCGCCAGUCUAGACGACGCCGCCGCCGCCUCGCCUGUUGACUGUCAACAAAUGGCGCCACGAGUCAUCCUGUCCAAGAACCAGAGAAGAAGAAACCGGAAAGCCUGUCCAGAGAACCAUACACUCUCAGGAAUACCACCCCCACCACCACCGGAGGAGGAGGAGGAGGACUGGGAAAAGGAGAGCCAAGAGGUCACGCUGAUUGACUGGGAAAAUAACUGUUUUGGCAUCAAUCCCUACGGUCCACAGGAUGUGAUCCAUUUUUCCUUGCGGUAUUCACCCUUCCAGCGAAGGCACGAAGUCGUCCCACUAUUGAUGGCUGGUUACAGCCCGGAGGUGCACCACCCGCAGCCCGUCCGUUGGAGGCACUACGGCACCCCCACCGAGCAAGGGCAGUUUGCAGACGCUGACCACUAGGCCAGGCGUGUGCGGCUGUGUGACCGGGUCGGUAGAAAAAGUUCUGGAGUUUUCUUAUUGGUUAGAAUCACUGCAACAGCUUCAGUCCAAUAAUAAUAAUAAUAAUUGCGUUCAGUUGUUUUAUUUAUUUUUUGUUUUAUAUCUAUAUUUUAUAUUUAGGUUAAAUGGUAAGCUAUUCAUUUUUUUAUCUUAAGGAAUGAUUUUAGAUGAUCUGCUAUACUUUGCUGUUGUACCGCAUACAUUUACGGUUCUUUCCAUGUCUUCAUAACUUUGGCUAGAAUUCCAGGAAACUGAAGGAAUACCCUUUUAUUGUCAUGUUUACCCUUUGUUUUAAAAUGCCUCUAGUAGGAACAAUGUUGUCAUAGUUCAUUAUCAAUGUUUGUUCAUCAGAUUUGUGAGUAGAUGAAGAAACGAUUUUGAUUUGGGGUCACCCAACUCGACCACGAAAUUUGGUUUGGAUGCUGUAUCAACAAGUUGUGAUCUGACCUUUCACAGUUGCAAUAAAUCCAAUUUUCUUCACUAAA
Long non-coding RNA from Gasterosteus aculeatus aculeatus (three-spined stickleback), 1591 nucleotides. NCBI's taxonomy places the organism in Eukaryota, Metazoa, Chordata, Actinopteri, Perciformes, Gasterosteidae. The record is from Ensembl.